Molecule: ribosomal RNA, 497 nt
Filed under: uncultured bacterium
Lineage: Bacteria
Description: partial 16S ribosomal RNA
Rfam family: Bacterial small subunit ribosomal RNA
Source: RNAcentral
GAUGAACGCUGGCGGCGUGCCUAAUAUAUGCAAGUCGAGCGGACGGACGAGAAGCUUGCUUCUCUGAUGUUAGCGGCGGACGGGAGUGUAACACGUGGAUAACCUACCUAUAAGACUGGGAUAACUUCGGGAAACCGGAGCUAAUACGGGAGAAUAUUUUGCACCGCAUGGGUCAAAAGUGAAAGACGGUGUUGCUGUCACUUAUAGAUGGAUCCGGGCUGCAUUAGCUGGUUGGUAAGGUAACGGCUUAUCAAGGCAACGAGGCAUAACCGAGCUGAGAGACUGAUAGCCCGCCUUGGAACGGAGACAGCCUCCAGAGGCCUACGGGACGGAGCAGUAUGGAACGUUCCGCAGUGGGCGGGAGCAUUACGCAGUGACGCCGCGCGAGAGGUGACGGUCUUCCGAUCGUAAAACCCGGUUACUAGUGAAGAACAUAUGUGUAAGUAACCGUGCACAGCGUGACGGUACCUAAUCAGAAAGCCACGGCUAACUACGUG